This 405-nucleotide ribosomal RNA is filed under the name uncultured prokaryote. RNAcentral describes it as "bacterial SSU rRNA". It matches the Rfam family "Bacterial small subunit ribosomal RNA", at positions 355 to 776 of the family's 1533-position model. The record is from RNAcentral.
UGGGGAAUAUUGCGCAAUGGGGGAAACCCUGACGCAGCAACGCCGCGUGAAGGAUGAAGGUUUUCGGAUUGUAAACUCCUUUUUCUGGGGAAGAGAACGGACGGUACCCGGAGAAUAAGUCACGGCUAACUACGUGCCAGCAGCCGCGGUAAUACGUAGGUGGCAAGCGUUGUCCGGAUUUACUGGGCGUAAAGGGAGCGUAGGCGGACUUUUAAGUGAGAUGUGAAAUACCCGGGCUCAACCUGGGUGCUGCAUUUCAAACUGGAAGUCUAGAGUGCAGGAGAGGAGAGUGGAAUUCCUAGUGUAGCGGUGAAAUGCGUAGAGAUUAGGAAGAACACCAGUGGCGAAGGCGACUCUCUGGACUGUAACUGACGCUGAGGCUCGAAAGCGUGGGGAGCAAACAGG